GGGGAUAUGGCGAAAUUGGUAGACGCUACGGACUAAAAUCCGUCGACUUUAGAAAUCGUGAGGGUUCAAGUCCCUCUAUCCCCAAAAAGCCCA
Molecule: transfer RNA, 93 nt
Filed under: Sambucus nigra (European elder)
Lineage: Eukaryota; Viridiplantae; Streptophyta; Magnoliopsida; Dipsacales; Adoxaceae
Also listed under: 6 other names
Description: tRNA-Leu
Rfam family: tRNA
About the family: Transfer RNA (tRNA) molecules are approximately 80 nucleotides in length. Their secondary structure includes four short double-helical elements and three loops (D, anti-codon, and T loops). Further hydrogen bonds mediate the characteristic L-shaped molecular structure. tRNAs have two regions of fundamental functional importance: the anti-codon, which is responsible for specific mRNA codon recognition, and the 3' end, to which the tRNAs corresponding amino acid is attached (by aminoacyl-tRNA synthetases). tRNAs cope with the degeneracy of the genetic code in two manners: having more than one tRNA (with a specific anti-codon) for a particular amino acid; and 'wobble' base-pairing, i.e. permitting non-standard base-pairing at the 3rd anti-codon position.
Source: RNAcentral